RNAcentral lists this long non-coding RNA (1936 nucleotides) under Gallus gallus (chicken). RNAcentral describes it as "lncRNA (ENSGALG00010015011.1)". Lineage: Eukaryota; Metazoa; Chordata; Aves; Galliformes; Phasianidae. The record is from RNAcentral.
CCUCCAGGGAUGGGGCAUCUGCCACUUCCAGAAUGCACCACCCACACCCUCACUGUGCUCACAACCACCGUUUGGUCUCCAAAAACUUUCAGCAAGCAUUGAUGAAUGUCCAUGGGUGCAUUUCUUUCUGCAUGGAGGAAUUCAGUGACACACCUUUGUUUCAUGAGCACUUCCAUGUUGGUGGUUAAUUUGUCAGAUAACCCCUCUGUUGCCAUCUGUUGCAUGGCAACAAAAUGUAAUGGAAUAUUGGUGUGAAGGUUCUUUACUGCCUUUACUGCCAAACCACCACCACCUGCUUUGGAUGUAAUGGGCCAACAUAAUUAAACAGGAAGUAUAGCUUCUGGAACAGCCUUUGUAUAAUAUUUACCAACACGAUUAUAGCAAUCAAGCAUGAUACAUAAACUGAAUGUGUGUUAUAGUAAGUGGGAAAAAGAAUGGGAGAAAAUAUUCCUACAUGCACCUUCACUCAUUAGAAAUAAUGGAAAAAACUUCAAGAGAGCAUACUUCUAAAGAAGAGCGUAGGGAUAGCUUAAAGAUGUGAUGAUAACAGGGAAAAUCAGGCAGGCACCAUACAAAACCAAGGAGAAAAAUGUCAGUGUGAUGCAGGGCAAUAGUUAACUGUUUUCCAUCCCUGUGAUUAAGAAUUGUCUUAGCAAUUGAAGAGCCAGUCAGGGGUAUUUUAAAAAUGGGGAAGGUAAACACAUGGGAAAAAGAAAUAUUUACAAGAUAGGUAAGUAGCUACAUAAGAUGGAUAUGGAGAUACCAAAAAAUAACAUCCAUUAGGGAAAGAGAUUACAUGCAAGGGACUGGAAAGAGGGUUAGAAGAUUUAAAUGAUCUAAAGCAGAAGAGAUUUGUGUCUGAAUCUUUGGUCGUAUUCAAUUCUAAGACCUCUAAAAGAUGGCACACUAAGUAAAAAUAGAUGGUUUAUGAGAUUAUGUGUGGUUUGCCCUAGGUUCUAGGAUGUAAACUUGCAGUAAAAGCAUCCUGAUGAUGUUGACAUGGAGUCCACUAAUCUCUGUAUCAACAUAAGUGAUAACUGAAUUCUGGUGAAACAGGUUGAAGAUGAUUUUCACCAAGCUAACUAGGAAAAAUGUUUAAACAAACUGAGACAAACUCAAGUGAAUUAUUCUCAUCUUGGUGAAAAUAAUGAAUACUACAUGGUUCUCAAUGUAGAUGUUAUUAGAAGGAUUUUCAGAUGUUUGAGGAAAUAUUCCUUGAAAGGGGACUCAGACCAGUCAGUUUUCUCUGCUGAAGUUGUGAUCCCAUGGAAUCAGGCUGAUAUGAUUAUGUACUGUGUCGAACCAGGUAGUAACAAUGACAGUUUGGUAAAGUCUGUAACAGUUAAUGCUUCUAGAUAGGAAGGUAAAAGAAAAUCAACUAAUUACAACAUGACAAUGGGAACUGAAUAAGCCAUAAAGUCCCUGUGUCAGUGUAUUAAAACUGGAGCUACUCAAUUACAAUGCCGGUAGAAACCAGCUAGGAAAGGAGUGUGGCUGAGAAACAAGAACUGAAAAAUGUGCCAUGCAGAAAAGCUGGUAGAUAAAUCUGAAACAUGCUGCAUCAUUAGUGACGAGAUGAACUAAAAAGUGUUAAAGAAGGGUUGGUUUUCAAGAGGUACUAAUGUGUUAGCAUUGGGAAAUUCAUUGAAUUGUCAGGCUGGGAUUCAGACAUGGCUUAUCUUUAUCUUUGUAUUAUUGUGAUGUACUAUCUUGUAUUAAAUUGUCAAUCUGAGGAGUUCAUCUAGUUGCCUUAAAAUAAAAAGACCACCAAGUGAAGUGGGAGGACAGAAAAAUAGGUUUUAUUUAGCUGAAGCUAUUCUUGGUCUGUAUCGAGUAUCUCAGGCUCUGACUCUUUUCUUUCCUCUUUUUUCUUUUUUUUUUUUUCUUUAACUUAUAUUUUAGUUACUUGACAGAAAACCAAAUAAAGUGUUGAAAA